AUUACAUUUAAAGCGCCUGAACACGUAUUUUAGUGUUGACGAGGAGGAGGUUUAUCGAAGUUUUCGGCGGAUGCCUCCCGGUCUGCCACGACCGUAAGGAAACCUACAAAACCGUUGAGUGAUCGGCGGGACAAAGGGGUUUCCGGUGGCUUAU
Molecule: non-coding RNA, 154 nt
Filed under: Dethiobacter alkaliphilus
Lineage: Bacteria; Bacillati; Bacillota; Dethiobacteria; Dethiobacterales; Dethiobacteraceae
Also listed under: 1 other name
Description: GlcN6P sequence
Rfam family: glmS glucosamine-6-phosphate activated ribozyme aptamer
About the family: This entry contains a glucosamine-6-phosphate activated ribozyme that is found in the mRNA for GlmS.
Source: RNAcentral